GGUGCAUUAGUGAAGUGGUUAUCACGCCUGGUUUGGGAUCACCCAAUCAAUUUCCAGGAGGUCGUGGGUUCGAAUCCCGCAUGCUCCC
Molecule: non-coding RNA, 88 nt
Organism: Xylariomycetidae sp. FL0641
Lineage: Eukaryota; Fungi; Ascomycota; Sordariomycetes
Source: the annotation of a GenBank genome assembly